RNAcentral lists this ribosomal RNA (444 nucleotides) under uncultured bacterium. RNAcentral describes it as "SSU rRNA". It matches the Rfam family "Bacterial small subunit ribosomal RNA", at positions 26 to 518 of the family's 1533-position model. The record is from RNAcentral.
AGAGCGAACGCUGGCGGCAGGCUUAACACAUGCAAGUCGAGCGCCCCGCAAGGGGAGCGGCAGACGGGUGAGUAACGCGUGGGAACGUACCUUUUGGUUCGGAACAACACAGGGAAACUUGUGCUAAUACCGGAUAAGCCCUUACGGGGAAAGAUUUAUCGCCGAAAGAUCGGCCCGCGUCUGAUUAGCUAGUUGGUGAGGUAACGGCUCACCAAGGCGACGAUCAGUAGCUGGUCUGAGAGGAUGAUCAGCCACAUUGGGACUGAGACACGGCCCAAACUCCUACGGGAGGCAGCAGUGGGGAAUAUUGGACAAUGGGCGCAAGCCUGAUCCAGCCAUGCCGCGUGAGUGAUGAAGGCCCUAGGGUUGUAAAGCUCUUUUGUGCGGGAAGAUAAUGACGGUACCGCAAGAAUAACGCCCGGCUAACUUCGUGCCAGCAGCCGC